This 476-nucleotide ribosomal RNA is filed under the name uncultured organism. RNAcentral describes it as "partial 16S ribosomal RNA". It matches the Rfam family "Bacterial small subunit ribosomal RNA", at positions 333 to 800 of the family's 1533-position model. The record is from RNAcentral.
ACACUCCUACGGGAGGCAGCAGUGGGGAAUAUUGCACAAUGGGCGCAAGCCUGAUGCAGCCAUGCCGCGUGUAUGAAGAAGGCCUUCGGGUUGUAAAGUACUUUCAGCGGGGAGGAAGGCGAUAAGGUUAAUAACCUUGUUGAUUGACGUUACCCGCAGAAGAAGCACCGGCUAACUCCGUGCCAGCAGCCGCGGUAAUACGGAGGGUGCAAGCGUUAAUCGGAAUUACUGGGCGUAAAGCGCACGCAGGCGGUCUGUCAAGUCGGAUGUGAAAUCCCCGGGCUCAACCUGGGAACUGCAUGCGAAACUGGCAGGCUAGAGUCUUGUAGAGGGGGGUAGAAUUCCAGGUGUAGCGGUGAAAUGCGUAGAGAUCUGGAGGAAUACCGGUGGCGAAGGCGGCCCCCUGGACAAAGACUGACGCUCAGGUGCGAAAGCGUGGGGAGCAAACAGGAUUAGAAACCCCUGUAGUCCCAUAU